This 3107-nucleotide long non-coding RNA is filed under the name Homo sapiens (human). Its description in RNAcentral is "non-protein coding lnc-ARFGEF2-2:3". The record is from RNAcentral. Lineage: Eukaryota; Metazoa; Chordata; Mammalia; Primates; Hominidae.
CACACUCAUCGUAGCAGAGAGGCAGGAACAGCUGGGCGAGGGUCCUUCUGUGACAUCUACUGCAUCACUGGGCUCUGUGAAGUGACUCAGCUGCCAGAACUCACACAAUAUUCUGCACCAAAACCUCACGGGAAAAAUGCAUCACGAACCUCAGACUUAAACAGCACAACAGGCUCCUCCCAGGUCUCCAGCUACACAACCCUCAGACUUAAACAACAGCAGCGGCACCAGCUCCUCCCUGGGUCUCCAGCUCCACAAACCUCAAAUUAGAACAGCAGCACUGGCUACACCCAGUCUCCAGCUCUACACCUCUAACUUGAACUACAGCCACCAGCUCCUUCCUGGGUCUCCGGCUCCACAGACCUUAAACGAAAACAGCAGCACUGGCUCCUCCCCAGGUCCCCAGCUACAGACCCUCAAACAAGAAGAACAGCAGCACCAGCUCCACCUAAAGUCUCCAGCUCCACACCUCAAACUAGAACUUCAGCACCCGCUCCUCCCCGAGUCUCAAUAUCUGUGACCCUCAAAAUAAAACAGCAGGACCAGCUCCUCCUCUGGUCUUCAGCUUCACGACCUUAACUGUAACAGCACCACCCGCUCCUCCGGGGUCAACAGCUCCGACGCUAAAACUAGAACAGCAGACCAGCUUCUACCUAAAACACCAGCUCCGAGACUCUCAAACAAGAACAGCAGCACUGACUUCUCUCACCAGGUCUCCAGCUCCACGAUCCUGAAACUUGAACGGCAGCACCCGCUCCUCCCCGGGUCUCCAGCUCCACGAACCUCAAACUUGAACAGCAGCACCCGCUCCUCCCAGCGUCUCCAGCUCCAUGAACCUCAAACUUGAACAGCAGUACCCGCUCCUCCCCGGGUCUCCAGCUCCACGAACCUCAAACUUGAACAGCAGCACUCGCUCCUCCCAAGGUCUCCAGCCACUCAUCCCUCAAACUGUUGCUCCUCCCUGUGUCUCCAGCUUCAUGACCCUCAAACUUGAACUGGGGCACCCGUUCCUCCCCGGGUCUCCAGCUCCACGACACGUGAACUGCAGCACUUGAUCCUUCCUGAGUCUCCAGCUCCAUGACCCUUAUACUUGAACAGCAGCACCAAUUCCUGCCCAGGUCUCCAGCCUCAUGACCUUCAAAUUUAAAAAGCAGAACUGGCUCCAACCCAGGUCUCCAGCUCCACCAUCAUCAAACUUGAAUGGCAGCACUAGCUCGCCACAAAGUCUCCAGCUCCCAUGACCCUCAAAUGUGAACAGCAGCACUGGCUCCUCCCCAGGUGUUCAGUUUCACGACCCUAACUAUUACAGCAACACCUGCUCCUCCCCAGGUCACCAACUCCAAGACCCUAAAACUAGAACAGCAGACCGGCUCCUACCCAGGUCACCAGCUCCAAGACUCUCAAACUAGAACAGCAGCACUGACUUCUUGCCAGGUCUCCAGCUCCAUGACCCUCAAGCUUGAACCGCAGCAACAGCUCCACCCAGGUCUCCAGCUCCACAAACCUUAAACAACAGCACCGGCUCCUCCAGAGGUCCCCAGCUACAGACCCUCAAACUAGAACAGGAGCACUGACUCCUGCCCAGAUAUCCAGCUCCACGAACCUCAAACUUGAACUGCAGUACCAGCUCCUUCCCGGGUCUUUAGCUCCGUGACCCUGAAAAUAAAACAGCAGCACUGGCUUUUCCCCAGAUCCCCAGCUCCACGACCCUCAAAUUUAAAAAGCAGCACCAGCUCCUCCCUGGGUCAGCACCUCCAUGACCCUCAAACCUGAACUGCAGCACUGGCUCCUCCCCGGGUCACCAGAUCCCAGACCCUCAAACUAGAACAGCAGCACUGACUCCUCCCCAUAUCUCCAGCUCCAUGACCAUCAAACUUGAAGACUAGCACCAUUUCCUUUCUGGGUCUCCAGCUCCACGACCCUCAGACUUGAACAGCAGUGCCAACUCCUUUCUGGGUCUCCAGCUCCACUAUCUUCAGACUUGAACAGCAGCACCAGCUUCUCCCCAGGUCUCCAGCUCCAUGACCCUCAAACAGGAACAGCAGCACCGGCUCCUCCCUGGGUCUCCAGCUCCUCAAGUCUGAGGAUCAUGGAGCUGGAGACCCAGAAAGGCAAUGGUGCUACUCUUCAAGUCUGAGGGUCAUGGAACUGGAGACCCGGGGAGGAGCUGGUGCUACCGCUGUUCAAGUUUGAGCAUCUUGGAGCUGGAGACCCAGGGAGCCGCCACUCGAACGGUAGCUCCUCCCCCAGUCUCUAGCUCCAUGACCCUCAAACUCGAAGAGUAGCACCAUUUCCUUUCUGGGUCUCCAGCUCCAUGACCCUCAGACUUGAACAGCAGCACCAGCUCCUUUCUGGGUCUCCAGCUCUCCUAUCUUCAGACUUGAAUGGCAACACCAGCUUCUCCCCACGUCUCCAGCUCCACGACCCUCAGACUUCGACAGCAAUCCGGCUCUUCCCCUGGUCUCCAGCUCCAUGACCCUCAAACUAGAACAGCAGCACCGGUUCCUUUCUGGGUCUCCAGCUCCACGAUAUUCAGACUUGAAUGGCAGCACCAACUUUUCCCUGGGUCUUCAGCUCCAUGACCUUCAGACUUGAACGGCAGCACUGGCUCCUCCCCUCUCCAGCUCCAUGACCUUCAGACUUGAACGGCAGCGCCGGCUCCUCCCUGGGUCUCGAACCUGCCCAGCCUGCAGAUUUUGGACUUGCUAGCCUUCAGGAUCACAUUAGCCAAUUCCUUAAACUCAACCUCUUUCUCUGUAUGUAGGAUAUGGACACCUCCUGCUGGCUCUUUUUCCGGAGAGCCCAGUGAACACACCGUGCAUCAGGCUCCAUCAUUCACCAGAGCGUCUUUCCAACAGACUUUGCUGUGAUAUUUCUUAAAUAAAGGUCACUCCAAAGACCCUCACCUCUGGAUUGUAACCAACUCAGUGGCAGACUUAAUCCAUUUCUAUCUGCUGACAUUUCUCACAUGGAAUAGGCUGUUUGACAGAUUGAAGCUGUCUCCCCCCACUCCCCAGGCCAGUGCACACUUAUCUCCCUUGAAUGUUCAUUUUGUGCUCAUUUUAGAGACUGAGGCACAAAGACAGGCAAAUACAAGGUGAAGUCAG